Molecule: long non-coding RNA, 218 nt
Filed under: Brassica napus (rape)
Lineage: Eukaryota; Viridiplantae; Streptophyta; Magnoliopsida; Brassicales; Brassicaceae
Description: long non-coding RNA (BNAP_LNC008147)
Source: RNAcentral
UCUCCGAUGAUCCGCUCUUAAAGAUAAUGACCCACCGGAGAACAGCUCGCUGAAAGCCUGCACAUGCCCAAACGAACAACAGCAACAGCAGCAACGCAAUUCACACACAACAUCCAAAUCGAGCAAUUAUUGGACCCGGAAACGGCCUGUACACGAUGCCGAACCGAGCAAAACGGGUCGCCACCUCUGCAAUCCCUAAUCAGAGCCUAAACCUGCAC